Molecule: ribosomal RNA, 594 nt
Filed under: uncultured bacterium
Lineage: Bacteria
Description: bacterial SSU rRNA
Rfam family: Bacterial small subunit ribosomal RNA
Source: RNAcentral
CCUACGGGAGGCAGCAGUGAGGAAUUUUCCGCAAUGGGCGAAAGCCUGACGGAGCAAUGCCACGUGGAGGAGGAAGGCCUGUGGGUCGUAAACUCCUUUUCUCAGAGAAGAAGUUCUGACGGUAUCUGAGGAAUAAGCAUCGGCUAACUCUGUGCCAGCAGCCGCGGUAAUACAGGGGAUGCAAGCGUUAUCCGGAAUUAUUGGGCGUAAAGCGUCCUGAGGUGGCUUACCCAGUCGACUGUGAAAGCUCAAGGCUUAACCUUGAAACGGCAGUCGAAACUUGUAAGCUUGAGUACGGUAGGGGCAGAGGGAAUUCCCGGAGGAGAGGUGAAAUUCGUAGAUAUCGGGAGGAAGGCCAAAGGCGAAAGCACUCUGCUGGGCCGAUUACUGACACUGACAGACGAAAGCUAGGGGAGCGAAAGGGAUUAGAUACCCCUGUAGUCCUAGCCGUAAACGAUGGAUACUAAGUGUUGCGCGACUCAAACGUGCAGUGCUGCAGCUAACGCGGUAAGUAUCCCGCCUGGGGAGUAUGCCCGCAAGGGUGAAACUCAAAGGAAUUGACGGCUGAGCGNGCGAGACGACGACGAGGAGAGG